RNAcentral lists this ribosomal RNA (351 nucleotides) under uncultured bacterium. Its description in RNAcentral is "partial 16S ribosomal RNA". It matches the Rfam family "Bacterial small subunit ribosomal RNA", at positions 338 to 681 of the family's 1533-position model. The record is from RNAcentral.
CCUACGGGUGACAACAGUAGGGAAUCUUCCACAAUGGGCGAAAGCCUGAUGGAGCAACGCCGCGUGGGUGAAGAAGGUCUUCGGAUCGUAAAACCCUGUUGGUAGAGAAGAAAGUGCGGGAGAGUAACUGUUCACGUGUCGACGGUAUCUAACCAGAAAGCCACGGCUAACUACGUGCCAGCAGCCGCGGUAAUACGUAGGUGGCAAGCGUUCUCCGGAUUUAUUGGGCGUAAAGGGAACGCAGGCGGUCUUUUAAGUCUGAGGGGAAAGCCUUCGGCUUAACCGGAGUAGUUCAUUGGAAACUGGGAGACUUGAGUGCAGCAGCGGUGAGUGGCACUCCCUUUGUAGCCG